RNAcentral lists this transfer RNA (71 nucleotides) under Petrocephalus microphthalmus. RNAcentral's name for it is "tRNA-Val". It matches the Rfam family "tRNA". From Rfam's summary of the family: Transfer RNA (tRNA) molecules are approximately 80 nucleotides in length. Lineage: Eukaryota; Metazoa; Chordata; Actinopteri; Osteoglossiformes; Mormyridae. The record is from RNAcentral.
CAGAGCGUAGCUAAACACCAAAGCAUCUCACUUACAAUGAAAUGAUAUCCGUGCAAGUCGGAUCGCACUGA